AACGAACGCUGGCGGCAUGCCUAACACAUGCAAGUCGAACGAGAUCUUCGGGUCUAGUGGCGCACGGGUGCGUAACGCGUGGGAAUCUGCCCUUUGGUUCGGAAUAACAGUUGGAAACGACUGCUAAUACCGGAUGAUGACGAAAGUCCAAAGAUUUAUCGCCAGAGGAUGAGCCCGCGUAGGAUUAGCUAGUUGGUGUGGUAAAGGCGCACCAAGGCGACGAUCCUUAGCUGGUCUGAGAGGAUGAUCAGCCACACUGGGUCUGAGACACGGCCCAGACUCCUACGGGAGGCAGCAGUGGGGAAUAUUGGACAAUGGGCGAAAGCCUGAUCCAGCAAUGCCGCGUGAGUGAUGAAGGCCUUAGGGUUGUAAAGCUCUUUUACCCGGGAUGAUAAUGGCAGUACCGGGAGAAUAAGCUCCGGCUAACUCCGUGCCAGCAGCCGCCGUAA
RNAcentral lists this ribosomal RNA (449 nucleotides) under uncultured bacterium. RNAcentral's name for it is "partial 16S ribosomal RNA". It matches the Rfam family "Bacterial small subunit ribosomal RNA", at positions 29 to 523 of the family's 1533-position model. The record is from RNAcentral.